GACGAACCGAGCGAACGUUGUUCGGAAUCACUGGGCUUAAAGGGCGCGUAGGCGGGCUGUCAAGUCUGGGGUGAAAUCCCGCGGCUCAACCGUGGAACUGCCUCAGAUACUGACGGCCUCGAGGGAGAUAGGGGCGAGCGGAACUAAUGGUGGAGCGGUGAAAUGCGUUGAUAUCAUUAGGAACUCCGGUGGCGAAGGCGGCUCGCUGGAUCUCUUCUGACGCUGAGGCGCGAAAGCUAGGGGAGCAAACGGGG
Molecule: ribosomal RNA, 254 nt
Filed under: uncultured bacterium
Lineage: Bacteria
Description: partial 16S ribosomal RNA
Rfam family: Bacterial small subunit ribosomal RNA
Source: RNAcentral